GAGAUCCACCGGCUUCUGCCUCCCGAGUGCUGGGAUUAAAGGUGUGGGCCAUCACUGCUGGCGGGCUUUCAUCCGGUCCCCAGAUGGAGGUGCUGUUUGGGGAAGCUGUGGACCCUUUAGGAAGUAGGAUCUUGUUGGAGGAGCAUUCACCCGUCCACUGAGCCACCAUUACUAAGUGUCUAUUAUAUACCUUGUGUGUGCAGCGAAAAGUUACAAAGAUAACGUAACAGGAAAAAGAAAAAACUUUGUCCCCUGGAGCAUCCACAAAGCAGGAUGAGGCACACAACCAAGCCAGUAAAUACAUAAGCUGACCACAGCCCCUUGGAGUCAGAGAGAAAUAAGACAGAGAAGACCGGACCUGGGAAAGCAGCAGAGAGGAUGCUGUCUGCUACCGGCUUGGGUUCCAGCCCCGAGGCCUGAAGGAAAGGGACAAGCAGAGGGUUAGCAUCCGGGGAGCCAAAGCCACUUCAGUUAGCUUCAACUGUCGACCGAGUCAUCUGAGAAGGGAGUCUCGUUGAGGGAAUGGACAGAUCAGAUUGGCUUCUGGGCAUGUCUGGGGGGGUUAUCUUGAUGGUUAAUUGAUGGAGGAGGGCCCCGCCCACUGUGGGCAACACUACUCCCUAGACGAGUAGUCCCGGGCUGUAGAAAAAGCCAGCGAAGCACAAGCCCAGGAGCGAACCAGCAAGCAGCGUUCUUCCGUGGUUUCUGCUUCAAGACCCUGCUGGAGUUCCUGUCAUGACUUCCUUCAGCGAUGGACUGUGAUGUGUCUGGAAGCACAACCCACACAGACCCUUCCUCCCCAAAGCGCUUUUGGUCAGAGUGUCUCAUCACAGCUGCGGACUGAAAGCAGGACAGCGGUAACUGAAGGACAUGGUGAAGACCCCUGUUAAACUCCACCAAUAACCCAAACCUAGACUUCUCUUGCAAGGCCACAGAGAAGCUUUCUACUGUUCAUGGACAAGGAUCUAGGACCCACAGCUGAGGACAACAGGGGACAGGUGGGCAGAUCGGCUGGCCUUGUCUCAGUGAGAACAUUAUCAGAAUAACACAGUGGCCUCGGUGUGCCCUGAGGUCCCUUGUGAGACCCUCUGACAGUGCCCAAAGUGGGUUUCCUAGGGCUGAAGGUCACAUCUGGAUUUUGUGGCAAGAGAUUUGGGGUGUCCGGGUUGAUGGGGUUUGGCUCAGAGAUGACAGUAUUGUGUACCCAUGUCCUUAGGAUGUUGGAGGUGAGAGAAAGGACUACUGAACAAGUGUCCUUCAGAGGCCCCCAGGAGAAGGCUUCUAAGAGCUCAUCUGCUGUGAUGGUUCUGUGCUCCAGCAUUCACUGGGCUUUCCUUUUCUUUUAUAACUUUAACUUUGAA
Molecule: long non-coding RNA, 1361 nt
Organism: Peromyscus leucopus (white-footed mouse)
Lineage: Eukaryota; Metazoa; Chordata; Mammalia; Rodentia; Cricetidae
Exons: 3
Source: RefSeq, a predicted model, not a curated record